ACAACAGGUAGUGACUAGGGCUUUAUAACAACAGGUAGUGACUAGGGCUUUAUAACAACAGGUAGUGACUAGGGCUUUAUAACAACAGGUAGUGACUAGGGCUUUAUAACAACAGGUAGUGACUAGGGCUUUAUAACAACAGGUAGUGACUAGGGCUUUAUAACAACAGGUAGUGACUAGGGCUUUAUAACAACAGGUAGUGACUAGGGCUUUAUAACAACAGGUAGUGACUAGGGCGUUAUAACAACAGGUAGUGACUAGGGCUUUAUAACAACAGGUAGUGACUAGGGCUUUAUAACAACAGGUAGU
Molecule: long non-coding RNA, 309 nt
Organism: Oncorhynchus keta (chum salmon)
Lineage: Eukaryota; Metazoa; Chordata; Actinopteri; Salmoniformes; Salmonidae
Exons: 3
Source: RefSeq, a predicted model, not a curated record